This 253-nucleotide ribosomal RNA is filed under the name uncultured bacterium. Its description in RNAcentral is "partial 16S ribosomal RNA". It matches the Rfam family "Bacterial small subunit ribosomal RNA", at positions 524 to 776 of the family's 1533-position model. The record is from RNAcentral.
UACGGAGGAUGCAAGCGUUAUCCGGAAUGAUUGGGCGUAAAGCGUCCGCAGGUGGCAGUUCAAGUCUGCUGUUAAAUACUAGGGCUCAACCCUGGAGCGGCAGUGGAAACUGAACAGCUAGAGUUCGGUAGGGGUAGAGGGAAUUCCUGGUGUAGCGGUGAAAUGCGUAGAGAUCAGGAAGAACACCGGUGGCGAAAGCGCUCUACUAGGUCGCGACUGACACUGAGGGACGAAAGCUAGGGGAGCGAAUGGG